AAUCUACUUCAUUGCCCUCAUCCUCCACAGGCAGAGAUUCCCCUUUCAGGAGGUCAGAUAGAUCAAGAGAGUCAUUCAGGCCAUUCUGGAGACACCAUGGCACCUUUUCCUCCAGCAGGAACUCAUUCUUGCCACUGAAGCACAAAGUGCUUCCUCACAGAGAAAUUGAAGAUAUCCUGAAAGAAAUGUCCUACACACCUUUUCAAGAGCACGGUGAUUAUUUUCUGAGAUACUGGGAUGCUAGCAAUGAGUGGAGCAGACAACGUAUUUGUCAGGUGUUGAUCAGAAAUAUCAGGAGGGACUUUCUGACUUUCUGUAAGCUGGAAGACCUGGAGAGCUUGGAGCUGAGAGCAAGAAAACUCAUCCAGCACAACAGCUCAGCUUCUAACCAAGACCUUUGCAUUCAGAAGGAGAAACUAUAUUGCUGGAUUCUGGCAGCGAUGUUUGUUCAUGUUUCCACAACAAACAACGUGAAACUUAAAGCUCUGCUGAGGGGAAUGGUCUUUGUAAAACACACUGUUCCUUCAGGGGAGAGAAAUUAUGAGUAUCUGUGCAUUAGUGCCUACCAAAAAAUCAGAGCAGCCAUCUCCAUUGCUGUAAAGAAGCAAAGGCACUGGCCAAAUUUCAUAGAAACAUAUCUGAAGCACUUGGAAACUUUNNNNNNNNNNNNNNNNNNNNNNNNNNNNNNNNNNNNNNNNNNNNNNNNNNUUCCAGUCCAUCCAGAAGCAGCUCCAGAGAGUACCCUGGAUGAUAAGACAUGUCUUUACUCUUGUUAUUACUGAAAAGGUGUUUGAAGCCAAACUGCUUGCAGUUAGCCAGUCCUUCCUCCUCUAUGUGUGCACAAAGUUGGGGAAAAAUCACUGGGAGAUUUUAUUGGAAAUCACUGAGCGCAUCACCGAACAUAUCCAAGCCAGCCACACACAAGGGGCAGUAACAGAGUGCCUGGAUCUUCUCCAAAGCCUAUGGGAAUGGUGCAUAAGAACUGCCACCAAAGAGAAGAAGCCUUUGGUAAUGACCAUCCUCAAUCAUUUCUUCCAAAAGUUGCUUUACCACCCACUGAGUGAAGUAAGACACUGCAUCGCACUACUGCUCUUUAGUGAGAAUGGUGCAUGCAUGCAUGUUACUGAGCUGGGAAACAAAAUGAUUCCAGCUGAUCCUAGCCACGUUGAGGCAGCUCUCCAAGAUUAUCUGAAGCUCACCUUCCCCGAUUUAGCCCUCAAGGGACAGCUGAAGGCAAAUGACAAUAGCAUGAUCGUGCAAGGAGUCAUACCUGCAGGCAAUGUGAAGAUCUGCAUAGCGAAACAACAGACCCUGAAUGACAUCUUGCAGACGAACACCACCAACAGUGACUGUGAAAGGUUUCAAGAAGUGAUCAGAAUAGUGGUUCUGUGUGCAGAUAGGGAGUCCAUUGCCAAGCUGCAAAUGUCCAGUGCCUAUGGAGUGCCUCCUUUGUACAUGUUGGAAGAUGGGAACCCACUCUUGGCUUUCCUGCAGGAAAAGAGAAAUAAGCUCACCCUAUCCAAUAUGUUAGGCAUUUUAAAGGACAUUGCCAGAGCUGUCUGGUCCUGUCACCAGAAAAGGGUAUUACUUUGCGACGUCACACCAGCCAGCUUCAUCGUGUUCACAGGUGGUGGACAAGGAACAAGAGCUCUUCAGAUUCGGGCUAAGCUGUCUAAUUUCCUCCAGGCCAGGCUGGCUCCUUCAGAGGAUGAGAAAGAUUAUUCUGCUAGUGAUUUUCCUUAUGAAAACAUCAAAUACUCACAGGUCACAGGGGACAGUAAGGAACCACUGUCCAUAUACUUCAGUGCUCCUGAGUCCCUGAAGUAUCAUAUCUUCUCUGCUUUCUCUGACGCAUGGGCCAUUGCUGCGACAUUUUACUCCAUUCUCCUGUAUGGUGGGCAGACAUACUUUGAACUCAGGCACUUGCCUGUGUCCAGGUUCAUAGAAGAGGGUCGGGUCUGGACAAGCGGCAUGAGAUAA
This is a long non-coding RNA of Struthio camelus australis, 1980 nucleotides long. The record is from Ensembl. NCBI's taxonomy places the organism in Eukaryota, Metazoa, Chordata, Aves, Struthioniformes, Struthionidae.